CUACGGGCGGCAGCAGUGGGGAAUAUUGGACAAUGGGCGAAAGCCUGAUCCAGCCAUGCCGCGUGUGUGAAUAAGGCCUUCGGGUUGUAAAGCACUUUCAGUGGGGAAGAAAGCCUUGGGGCUAAUACCCUCGAGGAAGGACAUCACCCACAGAAGAAGCACCGGCUAACUCCGUGCCAGCAGCCGCGGUAAUACGGAGGGUGCGAGCGUUAAUCGGAAUUACUGGGCGUAAAGCGCGCGUAGGCGGUCUGAUAAGCCGGUUGUGAAAGCCCCGGGCUCAACCUGGGAACGGCAUCCGGAACUGUCAGGCUAGAGUGCAGGAGAGGAAGGUAGAAUUCCCGGUGUAGCGGUGAAAUGCGUAGAGAUCGGGAGGAAUACCAGUGGCGAAGGCGGCCUUCUGGACUGACACUGACGCUGAGGUGCGAAAGCGUGGGUAGCAAACAGGAUUAGAUACCCCAGUAGUC
Molecule: ribosomal RNA, 464 nt
Filed under: Vreelandella stevensii
Lineage: Bacteria; Pseudomonadati; Pseudomonadota; Gammaproteobacteria; Oceanospirillales; Halomonadaceae
Description: partial 16S ribosomal RNA
Rfam family: Bacterial small subunit ribosomal RNA
Source: RNAcentral